UACGGGGGGGGCAAGCGUUGUCCGGAAUCAUUGGGCGUAAAGCGCGUGUAGGCGGCCCGAUAAGUCCGCUGUGAAAGUCCAGGGCUCAACCCUGGGAUGCCGGUGGAUACUGUCGGGCUCGAGUCCGGAAGAGGCGAGUGGAAUUCCUGGUGUAGCGGUGAAAUGCGCAGAUAUCAGGAGGAACACCAAUGGCGAAGGCAGCUCGCUGGGACGUGACUGACGCUGAGACGCGAAAGCGUGGGGAGCAAACAGG
This 253-nucleotide ribosomal RNA is filed under the name uncultured bacterium. RNAcentral describes it as "partial 16S ribosomal RNA". It matches the Rfam family "Bacterial small subunit ribosomal RNA", at positions 524 to 776 of the family's 1533-position model. The record is from RNAcentral.